This 301-nucleotide ribosomal RNA is filed under the name uncultured bacterium. RNAcentral's name for it is "partial 16S ribosomal RNA". It matches the Rfam family "Bacterial small subunit ribosomal RNA", at positions 509 to 807 of the family's 1533-position model. The record is from RNAcentral.
CAGUCGCCGCGGGAAUACAGAGGGUGCGAGCGUUAAUCGGAUUUACUGGGCGUAAAGCGUGCGUAGGCGGCUUCUUAAGUCGGAUGUGAAAUCCCUGAGCUUAACUUAGGAAUUGCAUUCGAUACUGGGAAGCUAGAGUAUGGGAGAGGAUGGUAGAAUUCCAGGUGUGGCGGUGAAAUGCGUAGAGAUCUGGAGGAAUACCGAUGGCGAAGGCAGCCAUCUGGCCUAAUACUGACGCUGAGGUACGAAAGCAUGGGGAGCAAACAGGAUUAGAUACCCCUGUAGUCCCUGUCUCUUAUAC